CUUGGAAGGGGUGUGAGUUUCGACCACCGCGGCAACGGCGGCUGCGUUCCUUCGAGUCUCUCCACUUCGACUGUACCAGUGAGAGAGCGCAAGUUGGUGACUCGAUCCGAUCUACUUGCAAUCCUAUUCGAUCUCGUCUCAUUGUGGCAGUCUGGUGACGUUUUCUGAGUCUCGAAACCCUCCAAACUCAUUCUUUGGAAUCUGAUGAUUCUUAGUUUGUCCGAGUUAUCGGUAAAUUCCGACAACACGUUUGCCAUUAGAUUUUGGUUUCUCGUGUUUCUGUCUUGUGAACUCUUAUCGGUCAUAUUCUACGGAUCAUAUUAAUCAUCCGUGCUGCUUCACAUUCCAAACAUCGAACCAAUAAUUAUUGUAAGGAUUCAGUAAUUCCAUCUUAUAACUUCCUAAUCGAGAAAUUGAGACUCCAUUUUGCACAAUUUCUGUAGUUAUUGAACGUUGUAAAUGUUUCUUGAAUGUGUUGUCUACUCAGUAGAUACUUUAUUGGCUCAGAUAGAUAUGAAUUAGUAUUUCUCUUUACGACAUCAAGAUGCUAGAUGAUGGUCGUCAUGAUUUAUCCUCUUUUGCAGACUGAUUUCGAAAUGGAACACCAUGUUAUGAUUUUUUUUUAUAGAAUAAGACAUUGCAGAAGGUGAAACAAUUGUGCUGUUCUCCAUGUCAUAUCAUCAACUAACUUCAGUGCAUGCUGAUGCAUCAGACAGGGUUUGCAAACCAGGUUCUUUUUUCCUUCUCUAUGUCUAGGCAAAUAUAGACAUGCACAGAUGUAGCUAUAACUCACAACUCAUUGUUAUUUAAGCAAUAAGAAAUUUAGAUUGAUUUUUUUUUUUUUUUUGGUGCUUACUGAUAACUCUCUACUGAUAUUUCUUGUUACACAGGUGUAAAUCUCAGCUCGAUGUCACAAUUGUUAUCAUCUUAACAAAGGUCCUAAAUGGUAACAUGCAUGCUAUGUCAUCGUCUUAUAUUUAAAAUUCCAUGAGAUUCUGGUUUUUCUGCCAUCAUCAUGCCGACACCAUCAUCACAACAAAAUAACAAAUUUGAACACCAAAAUUUAGGUAUGCAAACACACAUACAGACCGACAUGGCAGGAUAUUUUGGUGGAUUCAAUGAUUUCACAUCAAUACCAGAAGCAGCAAAGUGGUGAAACCUAGCAUGAGAAGAUUGUUGGUUGGUCAUGAAAGAGAAGAAGCCCUUUCAUCCAUCCAUUUAUUCCUUAAUCCAUUAGUGGUGUCUUAGCUCACACCAGUCUUUCAAGUGGGAAUAACUGCAAGGCACUCUCAGUUCAUGUGAAGUUGGAAACCACCACACCCAUUUCCUACUUUACCAAGGAUUGCAGCUUCAAGGACCUACAUAUCAUAUGCAAAAGAUUUUAGUUGUUUGCACUUUUUUCUCAUUAUAGUUGUUGCACUGGUUGCCGUCACGUUACUAACAUGGGCCUUGUUCGAGAAAAAAGAUUUUCCUAGAAAUUGAGACCACUGGAUUGGACUAGUUGUGCAAGCAAUUGCAAACCACUUGCAAAAAUCUUUUGGAAGUUUGAGAAGGCUCUGCAUAUCUCUGGAAUUUCCAGAAGCCUCUGAAAUUGAUGUGUGAAAUGUGAUCUUUGCCUUGUGCACCAAAAAUUUUCUUUUCAUGUCAUGCUUUGCUUCUUGCCGACUGAUCUAGGUGAAGGCUGUGGAGGCACCAGGGACCGAGACCAUAUUUAGUGAUUGCUUUUUCGGCCCACUGUUUCAAGCACAGCAUAUGAGAUUCCGACAACGACCGGCACCCGAGCUGGCAUUUGGACAGGAGAUGCCACUAUGAUUUUAAAGCUUCAACCAACCAAGCGGACCGGUGGCUGAGCUCCCUGGAUGUUGGCAUCAAUUGCUAUUGAAGGUGGCAUCAAUUAUCAUUCCCCUCCUUUGGUGGAUCCUACCUGCCACAUUACCAGGAACCAAAGUGCUACAUCAUGAAAGUGAUCGGCUCCCCUCAUCACUCAGGCUUGAUGCUUAUCCUCGUCAGGUCUCAGUUCUGUUGAAGCUUGGUACUUCGAGACCCAUCUGGUGACGGUGGAAGUAAAGAAGUCAUUCAUGGUUGUGUGUGUUCAUGUUUCAAGGGGACACCCUCGGUGGAAGUUUUUGGUAAGCAUGGUUUCUGUAGUAAGAGAUGUGAAAUGUCCAGCCACUGUCGGGAUUAAACCGCUUUGGAUCAAAUUGCACAUCUUGAACUUAUUGAGCAAGUGUUCUUCAAUUCCUUUACCUUAUGAUUGUUUAUUCUA
Long non-coding RNA from Musa acuminata AAA Group (dessert banana), 2266 nucleotides. RefSeq lists it as uncharacterized. The record is from RefSeq and is a predicted model, not a curated record. NCBI's taxonomy places the organism in Eukaryota, Viridiplantae, Streptophyta, Magnoliopsida, Zingiberales, Musaceae. The transcript is spliced from 4 exons.